GAUGAAGAACGUAGCGAAAUGCGAUACGUAAUGUGAAUUGCAGAAUUCAGUGAAUCAUCGAGUCUUUGAACGCACAUUGCGCCCCCUGGUAUUCCGGGGGGCAUGCCUGUCCGAGCGUCAUUGCUGCCCUCAAGCACGGCUUGUGUGUUGGGCCUCCGUCCUCCUCCCGGGGGACGGGCCCGAAAGGCAGCGGCGGCACCGCGUCCGGUCCUCGAGCGUAUGGGGCUUCGUCACCCGCUCUUGUAGGCCCGGCCGGCGCUUGCCGACACAUCAAUCUUUUUUCCAGGUUGACCUCGGAUCAGGUAAGGAUACCCGCUGAACUUAAGCAUAUCAAUAAGCGGAGGA
Molecule: unclassified non-coding RNA, 345 nt
Filed under: soil metagenome
Description: partial contains 5.8S ribosomal RNA, internal transcribed spacer 2, and large subunit ribosomal RNA
Rfam family: 5.8S ribosomal RNA (bases 1-120)
Source: RNAcentral